This 337-nucleotide unclassified non-coding RNA is filed under the name soil metagenome. RNAcentral describes it as "partial contains 5.8S ribosomal RNA, internal transcribed spacer 2, and large subunit ribosomal RNA". The stretch from base 1 to 120 matches the Rfam family "5.8S ribosomal RNA", at positions 35 to 154 of the family's 154-position model. The record is from RNAcentral.
GAUGAAGAACGCAGCGAAAUGCGAUAAGUAAUGUGAAUUGCAGAAUUCAGUGAAUCAUUGAAUCUUUGAACGCACAUUGCGCCCGCCAGUAUUCUGGCGGGCAUGCCUGUUCGAGCGCCAUUUCAACCAUCAAGCCCCCCGGCUUGUGUUGGGGACCUGCGGCUGCCGCAGGCCCUGAAAAGCAGUGGCGGGCUCGCUGUCACACCGAGCGUAGUAGAUCUCAUCUCGCUCAGGGCGUGCUGCGGGUUCCGGCCGUUAAACCACCUUCAUAACCCAAGGUUGACCUCGGAUCAGGUAGGAAGACCCGCUGAACUUAAGCAUAUCAAUAAGCGGAGGA